Molecule: ribosomal RNA, 481 nt
Filed under: uncultured bacterium
Lineage: Bacteria
Description: partial 16S ribosomal RNA
Rfam family: Bacterial small subunit ribosomal RNA
Source: RNAcentral
AUUGAACGCUGGCGGCAUGCUUUACACAUGCAAGUCGAACGGUAACAGGUCUUCGGAUGCUGACGAGUGGCGAACGGGUGAGUAAUACAUCGGAACGUGCCUAGUAGUGGGGGAUAACUACUCGAAAGAGUAGCUAAUACCGCAUGAGAUCUACGGAUGAAAGCAGGGGACCUUCGGGCCUUGUGCUACUAGAGCGGCUGAUGGCAGAUUAGGUAGUUGGUGGGGUAAAGGCUUACCAAGCCUGCGAUCUGUAGCUGGUCUGAGAGGACGACCAGCCACACUGGGACUGAGACACGGCCCAGACUCCUACGGGAGGCAGCAGUGGGGAAUUUUGGACAAUGGGCGAAAGCCUGAUCCAGCAAUGCCGCGUGCAGGAUGAAGGCCCUCGGGUUGUAAACUGCUUUUGUACGGAACGAAAAGCCUGGGCUAAUAUCCCCGGGUCAUGACGGUACCGUAAGAAUAAGCACCGGCUAACUACGUG